UGGGGAAUAUUGCACAAUGGAGGAAACUCUGAUGCAGCGACGCCGCGUGAGUGAAGAAGUAUUUCGGUAUGUAAAGCUCUAUCAGCAGGGAAGACAGUGACGGUACCUGACUAAGAAGCUCCGGCUAAAUACGUGCCAGCAGCCGCGGUAAUACGUAUGGAGCAAGCGUUAUCCGGAUUUACUGGGUGUAAAGGGAGUGUAGGUGGUAUCACAAGUCAGAAGUGAAAGCCCGGGGCUCAACCCCGGGACUGCUUUUGAAACUGUGGAACUGGAGUGCAGGAGAGGUAAGUGGAAUUCCUAGUGUAGCGGUGAAAUGCGUAGAUAUUAGGAGGAACACCAGUGGCGAAGGCGGCUUACUGGACUGUAACUGACACUGAGGCUCGAAAGCGUGGGGAGCAAACAGG
Molecule: ribosomal RNA, 404 nt
Filed under: uncultured bacterium
Lineage: Bacteria
Also listed under: 1 other name
Description: bacterial SSU rRNA
Rfam family: Bacterial small subunit ribosomal RNA
Source: RNAcentral